AAUUGCCACAUGAUGUGUCCUUUUCGUUGUCAUGAACUGAUUCUAGUAAUGCAGAGGAUUUUUCAGGUUUAUUUCUCCUACAUUUUCUUUUGUUUUUUCUUUCUAUGUCGCACUGUAGGACAGCAGCUAUGUUCUUGUACAAUUGUCAAUGUUCAGACUAACAUGGGAGAAGUAGGCUAGAAUGCUUGACUGCUUGAGCCUUUAAGUACUAUACUAAUAGUAGUAAUUUCUCAAAUUUACAGAUUGUUGUGCUUGAGAGGAUAUAAUGCAUUGUGAAAUUGGACCUGCUUGUUGAAGAAUACACAAGGUCUUAUAUGAUGGUCAUAUUUUUUGAUCAAUGUUGGAUCAAUUUUGGAUGACUUAGCUAGAUUUUAUUUUCAGCUGCUAUAUGCAUGCUUGUAUGUUGGCUUGAUGGCAAGCAUCUUAAGCUAGUGACAUGACUAUAUAUGUACACAUUUGAUAUGGAUGAAUGAGAAUAUUAUUGAUGUGCCAAUUUGUGUAUUGGUUCUGAAUGUGGUCUAGUUUUAAAUAUAUGUGAUGAGUACAUGUCGAUGGAUACGCUGUCCUAAUAGCGGAC
RNAcentral lists this long non-coding RNA (577 nucleotides) under Sorghum bicolor (sorghum). RNAcentral describes it as "long non-coding RNA (SBIC_LNC004025)". The record is from RNAcentral. Lineage: Eukaryota; Viridiplantae; Streptophyta; Magnoliopsida; Poales; Poaceae.